AUCUUGACAUCCAAUUGACCAUCUUUAAUCGAGAUUUUGCCUUCGGGUACAAUUGAGACAGGUGGUGCAUGGUUGUCGUCAGCUCGUGUCGUGAGAUGUUGGGUUAAGUCCCGCAACGAGCGCAACCCUUGUGUUUAGUUGCAAACAGGUCAAGCUGUGCACUCUAGACAGACUGCCGUGGACAACACGGAGGAAGGUGGGGAUGACGUCAAAUCAUCAUGCCCCUUAUGAUCUGGGCUACACACGUGCUACAAUGGCCGGUACAACGGGCAGCGAAGGAGCGAUCCGGAGCGAAUCCUAAAAAGCCGGUCCCAGUUCGGAUUGCAGGCUGAAACUCGCCUACAUGAAGUUGGAGUUGCUAGUAAUCGCGAAUCAGCCAUGGCGCGGUGAAUACGUUCCCGGGCCUU
RNAcentral lists this ribosomal RNA (407 nucleotides) under uncultured Fusibacter sp. RNAcentral's name for it is "bacterial SSU rRNA". It matches the Rfam family "Bacterial small subunit ribosomal RNA", at positions 978 to 1382 of the family's 1533-position model. Lineage: Bacteria; Bacillati; Bacillota; Clostridia; Eubacteriales; Fusibacteraceae. The record is from RNAcentral.